AUUCAAGGUCUUAAAGAUUGUAAAGAGGUUGCAACUUUCAUAUUGUUUGGAACCAUUAACCAUAUCUUGGAUGAGGAUGACUGGUGGUAUACGGCUUGUGUUUGCAACAAAGCUGUUUAUCCAGAUUCAAAGAUGUUCUUUUGCGAGAAGUGUAACAAGCAUGUUAUAAAAGUCUUUCCAAGAUAUAGGAUUAAGGUUCGAGUUAUUGACUCAUCCGAUUCCAC
Long non-coding RNA from Vigna unguiculata (cowpea), 224 nucleotides. The record is from RefSeq and is a predicted model, not a curated record. NCBI's taxonomy places the organism in Eukaryota, Viridiplantae, Streptophyta, Magnoliopsida, Fabales, Fabaceae.